This 253-nucleotide ribosomal RNA is filed under the name uncultured bacterium. Its description in RNAcentral is "partial 16S ribosomal RNA". It matches the Rfam family "Bacterial small subunit ribosomal RNA", at positions 524 to 776 of the family's 1533-position model. The record is from RNAcentral.
GACGGAGGAUGCAAGCGUUAUCCGGAAUGAUUGGGCGUAAAGCGUCCGCAGGUGGCAGUUCAAGUCUGCUGUCAAAGACCGGGGCUUAACUUCGGAAAGGCAGUGGAAACUGAACAGCUAGAGUAUGGUAGGGGCAGAGGGAAUUCCUGGUGUAGCGGUGAAAUGCGUAGAGAUCAGGAAGAACAUCGGUGGCGAAGGCGGCCUGCUGGGCUGUAGCUGACGCUGAGGCGCGACAGCGUGGGGAGCAAACAGG